Molecule: long non-coding RNA, 823 nt
Organism: Rosa rugosa (rugosa rose)
Lineage: Eukaryota; Viridiplantae; Streptophyta; Magnoliopsida; Rosales; Rosaceae
Exons: 7
Source: RefSeq, a predicted model, not a curated record
UCUCAGCGUCAUCUCCAUAGCUUCGACCAUUUCACGUUUGCUUCGCCUAUCUUUCAAGUCGGCACCGUCAUCAAAUUAAUUUCAGGGGGUUUGGUUCGCCGUGAGUAGUAGAGCUUCCUCCGUUGUCUUCCGCUCUUCCGCUACCCUCUCGUUAAGCAGAACACAUUGAUUUUGAGAGGGAUUCGAGGAUUCUUUGAAGUUGGAAAGAUUCUACUAGGAUUCAUUGAAAUCAGAGGAUUUAGCCACAGUAAGAGACCCUGAGGAUGACUCUGAUGUUCAAAUUGAGUGCAAAGACGUCUAUAAGUGAUUUGGUGAGAAGCAAAUAUUGAGAAGGUGUGAGCUUCAAGUCAACGAUUCAUUGGUGUGGUUAAUAGGGUUCUAAUAAUUGGAAUCUGCAUAUCUUUUGCUGCUCUUGUGGAGAAAUUCAAAUUGGGGAAUGAACCACACGUGAAUGAGGCUAUUGAGGCAGACAUGAAAAGAAGAUAUAGCACUUGGCGAUACAAUUUGCAUAAGAUGUUUUUGCAAUUGAAUCAGCGGAGGAGGCACUUGAGAACAGCCUGAAAAUGUGGGAGAAGAUGACUGGGAUUUUCUCAUCAAUUGGUGGCACGAUGACGAGUGGCUGGAAUUGAGCGGAAAAAAUAAGAAAAACAGAGAUAGGCUAACAAUAACUCAUUGUGCUGGGACAAAAGCAUUUAGUCGCAUUAGAUAUGAAAAUCAAAAUUCUGAGACCGGAGAGGAACCUAGCCGUAUUGACAUGUUCAAGCUGACAAGAUUUAGAGAAAACAAGAAAACAUGGGUCGGAGAUGUCGCUGAAAAUGCUUAU